This 76-nucleotide transfer RNA is filed under the name Sedimenticola thiotaurini. RNAcentral describes it as "tRNA-Lys". It matches the Rfam family "tRNA". From Rfam's summary of the family: Transfer RNA (tRNA) molecules are approximately 80 nucleotides in length. Their secondary structure includes four short double-helical elements and three loops (D, anti-codon, and T loops). The record is from RNAcentral. Lineage: Bacteria; Pseudomonadati; Pseudomonadota; Gammaproteobacteria; Chromatiales; Sedimenticolaceae.
GGGCCAUUAGCUCAGUUGGUAGAGCAGUGGACUCUUAAUCCAUUUGUCGUAGGUUCGACCCCUACAUGGCCCACCA